Molecule: ribosomal RNA, 301 nt
Filed under: uncultured bacterium
Lineage: Bacteria
Description: partial 16S ribosomal RNA
Rfam family: Bacterial small subunit ribosomal RNA
Source: RNAcentral
CAGCCGCCACGGGAAUACGUAGGGCGCAAGCGUUGUCCGGAAUUAUUGGGCGUAAAGAGCUCGUAGGCGGUCUGUCGCGUCUGGUGUGAAAUCCCGAGGCUCAACCUCGGGCUUGCAUCGGGUACGGGCAGACUAGAGUGCGGUAGGGGAGACUGGAAUUCCUGGUGUAGCGGUGGAAUGCGCAGAUAUCAGGAGGAACACCGAUGGCGAAGGCAGGUCUCUGGGCCGCAACUGACGCUGAGGAGCGAAAGCAUGGGGAGCGAACAGGAUUAGAUACCCCGGUAGUCCCUGUCUCUUAUAC